UGUUAGAAUUUAAGUCCUUAGGAAUAAGAAUAGCAUUUCUUUUUUUUGUGGGAAAGCGUAAUGAUUUUGAGCUUUGAGGAGUUUCAAUGGACUAUUGUUGCCUUUUUUUUUUCACAACGCUCCUACCCACCAAGUCCCACUGUGACACACUUCCUACCCCCAAUGGCAGAUAUUUAUAUUUCAAACUAAAUGAAACUAUAAUAAAUUUUCUUCUGAAAAAUUUUUGGAAUUUUGUCUUUGAGAUCUAUGAGGUAAUUGGAGAAACCCCAGGCUAUCAGAAAACCAGGGCUGGGAAUCACUGCUUUCAUGAUUAGCACUUUGUAAGCCUUCAAAAAUUAUUAAAACCAGUAUAGAUUGUCUAAUUUCUGGUGGGUGAAUUCACUUUAGUAUAAUGUAACGUGUUAACAAAUGUUCAGAGAGGACGUUGUGGAUCCAGAAAGAUGGCUUUUGCAGAAGGCUUUUAUCCAAAUUAAUUCAAAGAAUAACAGGAGUAGUUGUGUAUCGGGGCAGAAGGAAUAAGGUGACUCAAUUAAAUGAUUGAGAAAUCUCCAGGAAAAAAAAAUGUCUCAUGUCAACCCAAUACCAACAAUAGAAUUCUCAUUACUAAAAUCAAUAAUCCUGUAAUAAAUGUAUAAUAACUUCAAAAACGAUUCUUUUAUUAAAUAUUUUUGUAUGAUUGGCUAUGCACCAAAUAUUGAAAGCAAAUACUGCUUUUCUUUACUUUAAGGAUGACCAAGUUCUCUUCUAUGUCUCUAAGAGAAUCUCAAGUGAGAAGGGUCCAAAGGGUAAUUUGCAAAUAAAUUCACCUGCUGAAUUUGUGCCUAGACCUACUAGAUUCACCUAAUUCAUUUUUGGUUUUUGCUGAGCUCUAGCCAUGGUGUCAUACUGAGAAAUUCAUGCCAAGUUCUCCUGGGUUGCUGGAAUGUGAAUAAGGAAGGGUAGCUCAAGCCCCAGGCUUUGGGUCCCCCUCAGUGGGGGUCUUUGGAGUUGGUCUCCGGCAGUGCCUGAAGAACCUUGGUCUGGCUAAUUGGUACUGCUAGUCUGUUGCCAUUUCACGAAGCCAGAAAAGCAGUGUGGUCCCUUUCCACAUUCAGAGUUGAGCCCAACACACUAGUAGUCCUGGACUGAGAGAGUUCAGUUUCCGUCAAUUUUGACACUAUCACUUAGAUCGGCUUUUAGAGGUAGAUUAAGGACAUUUCUGUAGUGUUCACAGAUAUACAAUUCACGGACCUACAACUGUAUAUGCAGUUUGAAAAGAAAUUUGCUUAAGUAAACAGGUAGAUGGAGAGAGGAUAUGCUGUCCUGAAAACACUUCUGUUUUGUCAUUUGGCAGGGAUGUCUGGUUUGGGCUUCCUGAGUUUUUGCCUGGUGUUCUGCAGGGAAAUUUGCAUUCCAAAAGAUAGGCCAGCCUGCCUUCCUGCUUCUGAAACCUCUAGAAGGUGCUCUGAUAUAAUAGAGGAUCCCCUCAGCCUGUUUCAAGAGAUAAUCCCCUACCACCUGGUUACUCCAGGUCAUAUCUGGUUAACACUCUAGGUGUCUUGCAUAUAUUUUCCUUAUAACUUUUUCUGAGGAAUAAGGGCCCUACUUCCUUUAAAAAAGGAUGUCAAAUAUACCUUAAUAAGGCUUAAAAAACAGAGAGAGAGAGUUUAUCUAAUGUUAUUUGGAAAAGAAUCUCCUUCGUUUUUUCUCUUUUGUGAUAUGCUCCAUGAUUUUUAUUAUUUUGGAGAUUUUUUUUUAUUGCAGUAACAUUGGUUUAUAACAUCAUGUAAAUUUCACGUGGACAUCAUUACCUUUUCAUUUUUAACCUUUCCUUAUCUUUAGUAUCGAGCCCUACAGGUACAAACCCAAGCGAAGAACUGCUUCCCACCCACAGUGAUGCUGUGCUCCUGAAGGUCCCAGCCUCUGCACACUUUUCCUUUCGUUCAUUUUUUUCUCACUGUAGUGAAAUUUUCAUUCCUGUAGUUUACCUCUUAGCUCCCCCUUAUUUUUCUAUUUAUAUCUCAUAUUUUAGGACUUGCUUGGAGUGCAAAAUGUGUUGCAAACUUGAGAGAGAACAGAACUAGAUAAGUUCAUGAAAUAUUGCCCUUUCUUUCCUAUUCUAGAAUUACUUAGAACGGGAGCAAUGGAACUUUUUGGAUCGGUCCUGUUCUGCUUUGGGCUACUUAGGCUUCUGCUAUAUGGCUCAGGUCAUGGGCACCAGAUGCCAAUGGUACUAAGGUCAAGGGUUUGAUCCUCACUUGGGCUGGUUUGCUGCAUACUUUUCCAAUAGGUUGUAUGGAGAUUCAGUUCCGUCACUGCAGAAAUGCUAAUCAUAAAGGGGAUUGGUGAACUUAUGAGUGACCAGGUGAAUAUCCAGCCCCAUUCCUGCAAAAACAAAGUCUGUGCCCUACUGUCAUUUUUGCAUUUGGACAGAGCGUGCCACUUAAAACAUGAGCUUGUUACUCAACCUCCCUGCCUCUCUGUUUCCUCAUCUGUAGAAUGGAGAUAAGACGUGCUCCCUUUUUACCUCACCAGGACCUGUGAAGAUUAGAUAAUGGCUGUAAAGUCAAAGGUAUAAGCAUUAUCACGAACAAGGAGAUUAGUCAACAAAUGAAAAAAAAUUUAAGGGACCCCCCAAAGUGUAUUGCUCAAUACUUUUUGAAUCAAUAUGAGCAGUUUGCAGUCCAAUCCAUUCUGUUUGGUUGAGCUGCAAAAAGUUAGGUGUGAAUGUUUGACCUUUCUAUUUAUUUGAAAGGUUAAAAAAGCUGUUUGAUAAUGAACAUUUAUAUUAAGAAAAAUAAAGUGGGCUUUGAAUCUGAAACAGGUUUUAUCUGAAAAACAAGGUGAAGACGAAGGUCUCUAGGAACAUGCGUGCCACUGAGGAGUAUUUGCAUACAUUUGAUCUGCGACAUGCCUCAGUGACUUUCACAGUGUACCUUGGAGUUUAAGCUGUAGCAAAGAGCCACUGCCAGGGCUCGGCAGCAGAGUUCCUUCUCUCCAGCUUUAUUGUGGCACACAGCGACAACUUCAUUUUUAGAAUUAAAAAAAAAAAAGUCCUCUUCACUUAAUUCAGACAGUGACCUGCAGGCCUCAUUCCGACUGAAGGAGCCAUUCAGAAUACUUCCAGACAAAAGCAGGGCUUUUUCCUAGCAACCAGAUCAAAGCCAAAUCUCCCAGAAUAGCUCGCUCCCAGGUUUCCUUUGGUGCAUAGGUUCACAAGGAUUCUAAGGCUCGUGGUAUCCAGUUCAAACUCCUCUUUCAAACUGAAAUGGAAAGGAAAACUCCUGAGGAAUUCUCACAGACUCUGAAAACUGGUCUUGGAUUUGAUGACUGGAGUGUCCUUUGAGUGGAAUUUCUGUCUUAACUCUGCUCUGGAGGACAGCGAGUUUAGGAAGCCUUGCUGAUCUGAAUGUCUUGACCACUGCAUUCUGGCUUCUGUCUUUUUUUUUACAGCUGAGGUUAGACUUAACUCCGGAAGUUGUGAAUUGGAAAAGAUGGCAGCAACUGGCACGUGCUUGGAGUGGGUAGAAAUUGCUUAUUUCCUCGCAGAGCUAUGGGUUCUUAAAACAAUUUCUAAUAGCAGCAGCAGAAGAAUUUACUAACAAUCCACAGUGUCUUUUUUGUCCAGGAUAAAGGAAAUGUUUAAUAAACAAAUUCAAAAUAAAGUUAGCGUUAACAUUU
This 3660-nucleotide long non-coding RNA is filed under the name Equus caballus (horse). Its description in RNAcentral is "lncRNA (ENSECAG00000052181.1)". Lineage: Eukaryota; Metazoa; Chordata; Mammalia; Perissodactyla; Equidae. The record is from RNAcentral.